This 436-nucleotide long non-coding RNA is filed under the name Canis lupus familiaris (dog). Its description in RNAcentral is "lncRNA (ENSCAFG00030011668.1)". Lineage: Eukaryota; Metazoa; Chordata; Mammalia; Carnivora; Canidae. The record is from RNAcentral.
GGCCGCAGAACCAGGACCUAGGCUGCAGAACCGGGACCUAGGCCGCAGAACCGGGACCUAGGCCGCAGAACCGGGAGCUGGGCCGCGGAACCGGGAGCUGGGCCGCAGAACCAGGACCUAGGCCGCGGAACCGGGAGCUGGGCCGCGGAACCAGGAGCGGGGCCACAGAACCAGGACCUAGGCUGCAGAACCGGGAGCUGGGCCGCAGAACCGGGUCUCAGAAGCCAUCCGUGGUCUGAGGCGGCUACUGUUGGGCUGAGGCCGAACACAUACACCCAGGACGCCCAGUGAUUAGAGCUCUAGAGCACAGGUGAGCAAGAAUUGGUGUCUUCUUUCCCUUAAAAAUAAAAAUAGUAAUAAUAAUAAAAAGAUUUAUUUCUUUAUUUGAGAGAGAGCGAGCAUGAGUGGGGUGCUGGGAAGGAGGCAACAAGGAGGC